CAACUUUCAACAAUGGAUCUCUUGGCUCUUGCAUCGAUGAAGAACGCAGCGAAAUGCGAUAAGUAAUGUGAAUUGCAGAAUUCAGUGAAUCAUUGAAUAUUUGAACGCAUCUUGCACUCCUUGGUAUUCUGAGGAGUAUGCCUGUUUGAGUGUCAUUU
RNAcentral lists this ribosomal RNA (158 nucleotides) under Amanita volvata. Its description in RNAcentral is "5.8S ribosomal RNA". It matches the Rfam family "5.8S ribosomal RNA". From Rfam's summary of the family: 5.8S ribosomal RNA (5.8S rRNA) is a component of the large subunit of the eukaryotic ribosome. It is transcribed by RNA polymerase I as part of the 45S precursor that also contains 18S and 28S rRNA. Functionally, it is thought that 5.8S rRNA may be involved in ribosome translocation. Lineage: Eukaryota; Fungi; Basidiomycota; Agaricomycetes; Agaricales; Amanitaceae. The record is from RNAcentral.